This 440-nucleotide ribosomal RNA is filed under the name uncultured bacterium. Its description in RNAcentral is "partial 16S ribosomal RNA". It matches the Rfam family "Bacterial small subunit ribosomal RNA", at positions 338 to 795 of the family's 1533-position model. The record is from RNAcentral.
CCUACGGGUGGCAGCAGUGGGGGAUAUUGCACAAUGGGGGGAACCCUGAUGCAGCGACGCCGCGUGGGUGAAGAAGCGCCUCGGCGCGUAAAGCCCUGUCAGCAGGGAAGAAAAUGACGGUACCUGAAGAAGAAGCCCCGGCUAACUACGUGCCAGCAGCCGCGGUAAUACGUAGGGGGCAAGCGUUAUCCGGAUUUACUGGGUGGAAAGGGGGCGUAGACGGUGGUGCAAGGCAGGAGGGAAAGCCCGGGGCCCAACCCCGGGACUGCUCUUGAAACUGCGUGGCUUGAGUGCAGGAGGGGCAGGCGGAAUGCGUGGUGUAGCGGUGAAAUGCGUAGAUAUCAGGAGGAACACCGGUGGCGAAGGCGGCCUACUGGACUGCAACUGACGUUGAGGCCCGAAAGCGUGGGGAGCAAACAGGAUUAGAUACCCGGGUAGUC